Molecule: ribosomal RNA, 1081 nt
Filed under: uncultured organism
Description: bacterial SSU rRNA
Rfam family: Bacterial small subunit ribosomal RNA
Source: RNAcentral
GGACGGGUGAGUAACGCGUGGGCAACCUGCCUUAUACAGGGGGAUAACACCGGGAAACCGAUGCUAAUACCGCAUAACACAUAGAUAUCGCAUGGUAUUUAUGUCAAAGGAGAAAUCCGGUAUAAGAUGGGCCCGCGUCCAAUUAGCUAGUUGGUGGGGUAGAGGCCUACCAAGGCGACGAUUGGUAGCCGAACUGAGAGGUUGAUCGGCCACAUUGGGACUGAGACACGGCCCAGACUCCUACGGGAGGCAGCAGUGGGGAAUAUUGCGCAAUGGGGGGAACCCUGACGCAGCAACGCCGCGUGAAGGAUGAAGGUCUUCGGAUCGUAAACUUCUUUGAUUGGGGAAGAAGCAGUGACGGUACCCAAAGAACAAGCCACGGCUAACUACGUGCCAGCAGCCGCGGUAAUACGUAGGUGGCAAGCGUUGUCCGGAAUUACUGGGUGUAAAGGGCGUGUAGGCGGGGAUGCAAGUCAGAUGUGAAAAUCCGUGGCUCAACUGCGGAACUGCAUCUGAAACUGUAUCUCUUGAGUGCUGGAGAGGGAAGUGGAAUUCCUAGUGUAGCGGUGAAAUGCGUAGAGAUUAGGAAGAACACCAGUGGCGAAGGCGGCUUCCUGGACAGUAACUGACGCUGAGGCGCGAAAGCGUGGGGAGCGAACAGGAUUAGAUACCCUGGUAGUCCACGCCGUAAACGAUGGAUACUAGGUGUAGGAGGUAUCGACCCCUUCUGUGCCGGAGUUAACACAAUAAGUAUCCCACCUGGGGAGUACGGCCGCAAGGUUGAAACUCAAAGGAAUUGACGGGGGCCCGCACAAGCAGUGGAGUAUGUGGUUUAAUUCGAAGCAACGCGAAGAACCUUACCAGGGCUUGACAUCCUCUGACCGCUCUAGAGAUAGAGCUUUCCUUCGGGACAGAGAGACAGGUGGUGCAUGGUUGUCGUCAGCUCGUGUCGUGAGAUGUUGGGUUAAGUCCCGCCACGAGCGCAACCCCUGUUGUUAGUAGCCAUCAAGUAAAGUUGGGCACUCUAACGAGACUGCCGGUGAUAAAUCGGAGGAAGGUGGGGAGGACGUCAAAUCAUCAU